AAGAAACAUUAGAAAGAAAAAGGAAGGAAAACGGUAUAAAGAGAGAUCAAUUACCCACCCUUAAAUAGCUAGAUUGGGGGGGGAGGGGGGUGGAAAAGAAAGCUGUGGAGGUGUGCCCCAGCACGGCUGCUUUGAAAGGUUUAUCAUCUAUCCGUUUGGUUUAUGGAGAAAAAGAAAAUGGUAACUCAGCGCCAUUUUUUUGGAAACCUCUGUGCCAUGAGAGCCAAGUGGAGGAAGAAGCGAAUGCGCAGGCUGAAGCGCAAAAGAAGAAAGAUGAGGCAGAGGUCCAAGUAAACCGCUAGCUUGUUGCACCGUGGAGGCCACAGGAGCAGAAACAUGGAAUGCCAGACGCUGGGGAUGCUGGUACAAGUUGUGGGACUGCAUGCUACUGUCUAGAACUUGUCUCAAUGGAUCUAGAACUUCAUCGCCCUCUGAUCGCCGAUCACCUCUGAGACCCACCUUGCUCAUAAACAAAAUGCCCAUGUUGGUCCUCUGCCCUGGACCUGUGACAUUCUGGACUAUUUCUGUGUUUAUUUGUGGCCGAGUGUAACAACCAUAUAAUAAAUCACCUCUUCCGCUGUUUUA
This 585-nucleotide long non-coding RNA is filed under the name Homo sapiens (human). Its description in RNAcentral is "HSALNT0277456". The record is from RNAcentral. Lineage: Eukaryota; Metazoa; Chordata; Mammalia; Primates; Hominidae.